This 1404-nucleotide ribosomal RNA is filed under the name metagenome. Its description in RNAcentral is "bacterial LSU rRNA". It matches the Rfam family "Bacterial large subunit ribosomal RNA", at positions 1501 to 2925 of the family's 2925-position model. The record is from RNAcentral.
GGUAUCCCGGUGCAAGCGAGGUACCAGAUGCGUUGGAAAAACCGCGCAUCAAUGGGAAGACGUGAUGCGGAGUGAAGUUUAGUAAUGAAGUCCGUGAGCUGUGCGUCAAGAAAAGCCGCUAUUGUUCAUACCAUACCCGUACCGUAAACCGACACAGGUGGAUGAGGAGAGAAUCCUAAGGCCGGCGGAAGAAGCAUUGUCAAGGAACUCGGCAAAAUGACCCCGUAACUUCGGGAGAAGGGGUGCCACUGAGAAGUGGCCGCAGAGAAUAGGCUCAAGCAACUGUUUAGCAAAAACACAGGUCUAUGCGAAACCGUAAGGUGAGGUAUAUGGGCUGACGCCUGCCCGGUGCUGGAAGGUUAAGAGGAGAGGUUAGCGGAAACGCGAAGCUUUGAAUUUAAGCCCCAGUAAACGGCGGCCGUAACUAUAACGGUCCUAAGGUAGCGAGAUUCCUUGUCGGGUAAGUUCCGACCCGCACGAAAGGCGUAAUGAUUUGAGCGCUGUCUCGACAAUGCAUCCGGUGAAAUUGAAGUACCAGUGAAGAUGCUGGUUACCUGCGCCAGGACGGAAAGACCCCAUGGAGCUUUACUCCAGUUUGGUACUGGGAUCCGGUACUGCAUGUACAGGAUAGGUGGGAGGCUGAGAAAUGGUAACGCCAGUUGCCAUGGAGCCGCUGUUGGGAUACCACCCUUGCAGUAUUGGGUUUCUAACCAGCCGCCGUGACCCGGCGGUGGGACAAUGCCAGACGGGGAGUUUGACUGGGGCGGUCGCCUCCGAAAGGGUAUCGGAGGCGCCCAAAGGUUCCCUCAGGAUGGACGGAAACCAUCCAAAGAGUGCAAAGGCAGAAGGGAGCUUGACUGCGACACCGACGGGUGGAGCAGGUACGAAAGUAGGGCUUAGUGAUCCGGUGGUAUUAAGUGGGAAUGCCAUCGCUCAACGGAUAAAAGCUACCCUGGGAUAACAGCUUAUCACUCCCAAGAGUUCACAUCGACGGAGUGGUUUGGCACCUCGAUGUCGGCUCAUCGCAUCCUGGGGCUGUAGUAGGUCCCAAGGGUUGGGCUGUUCGCCCAUUAAAGCGGUACGCGAGCUGGGUUCAGAACGUCGUGAGACAGUUCGGUCCCUAUCCGGCGUGGGCGUAGGAUAUCUGAGAGGAGCUGUCCUUAGUACGAGAGGACCGGGAUGGACGGGCCGCUGGUGCACCGGUUAGACUGCCAAGUCUAUAGCCGGGUAGCCAAGCCCGGAAGGGAUAAACGCUGAAGGCAUCUAAGCGUGAAGCCCCCCUCAAGAUGAGAUAUCCCAUCCGAAAGGAGUAAACCCCCUUGAAGACGACGAGGUUGAUAGGGCAGGGGUGGAAGUGUGGUAACACAUGGAGCUGACUGCUACUAAUAGGGUGAGGGCUUGACC